CAGCCGCCGCGGUAAUACGAAGGGUGCAAGCGUUAAUCGGAAUUACUGGGCGUAAAGCGUGCGUAGGCGGUGAGUUAAGUCUGCUGUGAAAUCCCCGGGCUCAACCUGGGAAUGGCAGUGGAUACUGGCUCGCUAGAGUGUGUCAGAGGAUGGUGGAAUUCCCGGUGUAGCGGUGAAAUGCGUAGAGAUCGGGAGGAACAUCAGUGGCGAAGGCGGCCAUCUGGGACAACACUGACGCUGAGGCACGAAAGCGUGGGGAGCAAACAGGAUUAGAGACCCGUGUAGUCCCUGUCUCUUAUAC
This 301-nucleotide ribosomal RNA is filed under the name uncultured bacterium. Its description in RNAcentral is "partial 16S ribosomal RNA". It matches the Rfam family "Bacterial small subunit ribosomal RNA", at positions 509 to 807 of the family's 1533-position model. The record is from RNAcentral.